RNAcentral lists this non-coding RNA (20 nucleotides) under Rattus norvegicus (Norway rat). The record is from RNAcentral. Lineage: Eukaryota; Metazoa; Chordata; Mammalia; Rodentia; Muridae.
CUUGUCAUGGGACCUGACUG